RNAcentral lists this long non-coding RNA (686 nucleotides) under Dromaius novaehollandiae (emu). RNAcentral describes it as "lncRNA (ENSDNVG00000010248.1)". The record is from RNAcentral. Lineage: Eukaryota; Metazoa; Chordata; Aves; Casuariiformes; Dromaiidae.
AAAUAAAUCCUCUGAUUUCCUAAAGUCUGAAGCUAGCUGAAACUGUCCUUGCAGCGACAAUGUCAAUUACCUUAUUUCUAAACCUGCUAAACCACUGUUGUAUCUGAGCCCCGAGGGUGGAUUUAGCACAUAAAAAGAAUUUGACGGUGACUUUGAAAAAAGGAAAACUUUGAGAAAGGAGAGGAUCUUUUUGUUUCCUCACUUCCAUCUGCUGGUGUAAGGAAGCAGGUUGCUGCAGGGGGACAGAGGCAAAAAGAAAGCUGCUGACAGUUGUUGCUAAGAAAGGCUGAAGACUCUGAAAUAACAGGGGGAAGAAAUCGUUCACCUUUGAAAGAUAGUCUUUCACCAUGGGAAGAAUGGUUCAUUUGCAAAGAGAAGGAACUACGUGCCCGCUUACAAGCUAGAGCUCUGGAGGAAAUUAAUCUACAGCUUGAGAAAAUGAAAGAAAAGCAAGAAUUUGAAAGAAGGAGAAGGAUAGCUGAAGAGAAGCACAAGGAAUGGGUGCAAAAAAAAAAAGAAGAGGUAAAUACUGCUUUGGUUGUAAAUAUUAUAGCACAUGCUGUGCUUUAGUAAACCUAUGUAAAAUUUGCCCAGGCUUUUUGAACAACCAUGUUUUUACUUUGCUGAAUAAUGGCUGUUUUAAUUGAAAAUUAUAAAAUCACAUCAACAGAGUUUAACAUUUUUCC